AUGGAAAGCAAACUCAAUCCAAAAGUUCAAAGGCAAGAAAAUCCAUGUGAGCCUUGCAUCCACUACUUAGAUGAGUUUAGUCACCACAUUGUGUGGGCCAACACAGUUAAGCUCUACAACCAUAAUGUCCGUACACUGCGAAAGAUCAUCCGCAGCACCACCACGCCUGAUAACUACUAUGUGUGCCACAUGACAGAAACAUUUGCAACACAAGGCAAAAGAAUGUACUUUAGCGUUCCUUUUUCUAGGGGUUCCAUUUCCCACACAUGGAUGCUGACCAUGGUGAACUGCCAAUCACUACUGGAGACGGAACUGCCGCUGUCACGGCCCGCUUUAUCAAGGGUGUUCACAAAAGGGCAACCAUCACUGAAGGCUGGAGCGACUUCUUCCGUCAGGCACACAUGA
Molecule: ribosomal RNA, 405 nt
Filed under: Triticum aestivum (bread wheat)
Lineage: Eukaryota; Viridiplantae; Streptophyta; Magnoliopsida; Poales; Poaceae
Description: partial small subunit ribosomal RNA
Source: RNAcentral